GCCUACAGCACUACUUACUGUGUCCUGGUCAGGAAUUGCUCCUGAGACUAUUUUUAUUCAGUUGUAGCAAUUAGAUUGUAUGCCCCAGUAGGGUCGCAUAUUGCUCCAUUUCUUUUUGGCCCGCAUUAGCCUUAGAUACAUAACAAUAGUCCAGAGUAUAGACUCUUCCCACUAAAUUGAUAUUAAAGGUGCAAUAUGUAGGAAGUGGUCACUGCUGUCUCAGUUGACCCUGGAGCAGUGGAGGAGUGUUGGUGUUUACGCUGCCGGCACAAGAGCUUUGGAGAGUAACACGGCGGGGCUAGCUUGUUAGCGUGUUUUACUCCUGUGUUCCAGGUUGCAGGACAUAAACAUAGUGAAUCUGACAAAUCUUUACCAUAUGACCACUUCCUGAUUGAUCCGCAAACUGAAAAGACAGAGGACAGUGAAAAUCCAGACGGACAUCAGGCUGUAUUUCAAGCUCUGAGUGCUGAACACAGAUAUGCUGCGGACAAUGAGAACGUCGAGUGUGUCGUCACACACUUGACUCGGAGGCAACGAAGGAACGUAGGAAGACUCCAAGGCACCGAGGAGCUUUGACCCCAUAUUGUCUGACUUAAGUACACAAGGCCAGGGGUGACUGGAUGGAGCAUUAGUAUGGUGUUAAACUUUAAUUUCAUCUCCUCGUUUUUAAUGUGUGUUUGGUGCUCAGGUGCAUUUUCCCUGCAAAUUACUACCAAAACCUUAAAGGUUCAGUAUGUAAGAUUGUUGUUGAAAACAUACAAAAAUGACAGUUCUGACAUGCUGACAUCCGUGUUUUGUGUGAUUUUAUCGCAGUGCCUACUGAAGUUAGCAUGCUUACCAGCCAACCUGGCCCAAAGCUCCCAUGCUAGCAGUAUUAACACCUUACCAGUGCCCCAAGCUCCCGUUCUGGACUGCUAGCUGCACAGCUAACUGAGCUAACUACCUGAUGACAGCUGCAUCAGCGGGUGGCAGUUACUCUGCUGAUAUGCUGCCAAGAGGAAGUAAAGGAAUUAAUAUGUCUACACAUAGAUAUUAAGGACUGCAUGAACAUUAUGGGCAAGGUUGAGGAGAUUUUUCUUUUGUUUGUUUGUUUGUUUGUUUGUUUGUUUGUUUGUUUGCUUUCUGCCCACAGAUGAUUGUUUUUUUGAGGGAGUGGCUUCUAACAAGGUUUUUCAGCCAAAAGUAUCACGUUGUAUCUGCUAUCAACAGUUUCUACAUAUCUGUACUGCCCCAAAGUUAGCUAGCUAUCAGUAGAAUCCUUGGCGUUAGCAAGUGUUGGCAAAUUUAGCAUUAGCAAUGUUAGUAUUAGCUAACGUUAGCAAUGUUAAUGUUCACUAGCUAGCAUUAGCAGCAUUAACUAGUGCAACAAACUGACAACCGCCAUUUAGUGGAUGAAUAUUAUCAGUAACACCUUAAAUUAUUGCUUCAUUUAAAAAUCACAUAAUCCAAGUGGAACUUUUCAAAGGCCAGGUGUGUUUUCAAAGUCUCUCUGACAAAAAGCAACUUCUGACUGUGUAAGCUGUGUCUGUGUGCUGGUGUGUGAAACAGCAGAGUGCACGGGUGUGUGUUGUGUUUCCUGAGCAGAGCAGAGCGACCGCGCUUCCUCCCGACGCCCAAUCAGUUGCAGGUUGCUCAGUUACAUGCAGCACCGCCGCGUCACUUUAAAACCUCCUGCUGGAAGCCAGGACAGGAUGCAGCUCUGGCAAAACUCUCUGAGAAACAGGCCAAUACAUGGGAGGGACUGGGCCUCAGCUUCUAUACCCGUGAGUCACCAGUAAAGAUGGGAGGAAACCGCUUGUGCUCCGGUCGAGUUUCUCUGGUUGUUUGGUUUCUUUUUUGCCUCAACUUUAGAUUAUUCUGCAGUCAGUUGUCCUCCAGGACUUUAAACUGAUUCACUCACGCUUCUUACACAUGCACACCAGCGACGGCCCACAUGCAGCAACCAAACACUGUUUGCUUUGCUCUUUGUUGUGUUGCACGCUGAGCGGGAGUGACAUUACGUGCAGGACAUACAGAGAACUGCUUCUCCUUUGUAAAAACUGAUUACAAUGCGUGGCUGCAGGAAACUAGCUUUAAGAAUAAUCAGCCAGGGCAGGAAACAGGCGAGAUUAAGCAAAAAGGUGGGAUUCAUGCCUUAGGAUGCUUUUAUAGACUUAAUUAGGAAUUGAUUAUCCGUUUCAAACUGCCGUCUCUGAUCCUCGCUGUUAUCACACUGAAACAGGUUUUUUUAAAAUAAAUAAAUAUACAAUUAUGGUUUAAGUACAGAGGAUUGUGCACUAUAAAAACUCAGGAACUAAUUAAAAUAACUAACCACUCUGGUUGGUGACAAAAAAAGGACCAUUUUUUGCACACACAAUAUUGCCGAUCAUUUACCAAACAGCACUGUUUUACAGAUUAUAAAUGUUUAUCCAUUUUUUCACUAUGCAAAUUCAUACUGCAGUGCAGAGUGAAGACGGCAUGUGAUUUUAUUUUGGCGGUAUUACUUUAUGUGUGCAGAGUAAUGCACUGUAGUAUAAAUUAUAAAGCCCUUACACGUACUAUAUGGUGAAUGUGAAACUUGAAUGGGGAGCAAAUGAUCACUGUGAUGGACCGUAGCCAUCAUAAACUGAAAUUCAGCAUAUGAAAUGAUUACUUUCUGAGGUGCAUGUAAUUCACGUUCUAAUAAAACAUAUACAAGUGAUUAGCAGUAAAUUCAUCAGAAUUAUUGUAGGAAAUCCUGUAGGGGUUUUGUUCUGCAUCUCGACUUUGGUUGACAUGCAAAUAAACAAAAGUAAACUCUCACCACUCUGCGUAAAGCUUCUUCAGGUGAUAUAACACACAAACAUAUAACUGACUUAAUCCUAAAGUCUGUUCCCCCGUGUGGAGGUCUGCAGUUUCUGUUCAGCUUUGCUUUAAACAAUGAACAUAUACAUGCAGUAUCUAUUCCAGCAUCAGAAUUAUCAUAACUAAAAUCCUGUAAUGUCAAAGCAGCAGUAUUUACCCAUCAUUCUCCACCUCAUAGCUCCAUCUUGUGGACUAAUAAAGAAUGUGU
Long non-coding RNA from Acanthopagrus latus (yellowfin seabream), 3031 nucleotides. RefSeq lists it as uncharacterized. The record is from RefSeq and is a predicted model, not a curated record. The transcript is spliced from 3 exons. NCBI's taxonomy places the organism in Eukaryota, Metazoa, Chordata, Actinopteri, Spariformes, Sparidae.